Molecule: long non-coding RNA, 16973 nt
Organism: Motacilla alba alba
Lineage: Eukaryota; Metazoa; Chordata; Aves; Passeriformes; Motacillidae
Exons: 2
Source: RefSeq, a predicted model, not a curated record
AGGAAAGAGAAAGAAAAAGCACGUGUGUCACUAGGCAACGCUGCAAGAGUUAAUGGGAGACCUUGACAAAGGAGGGAAUAAGCAUGAGCAAAGCUGAGGCAAAAGAAUUAAUUAACUAAAGAAACAGAAUACAUAUUUACCUAGAAAAAUUAAUUACAUAAUCAACCAGAAGAUUAAUCAGAGGAAAACUAAUGCUCAGUAGAGCAUACUAGGGAGCCUUGUGGUUUUCAAUGUCAGUAACCCAGACAUCAGAACUGUACACCAAAGCAGACUUCCAGAAGUAAUUCUAGAUUUCAGGGUAGACAACAAGAAAGGUUUUCAGGGAAGCUGUUUCCAGCAGCCAUCAUCCUCAAUGUGCUUGCACCAGUUUGAUACAGUGACAAGUGAUAAACAUGGGACCAAUAAUACCACCUUAUUACUCCUGUUCUGGGACUCCAUUAUACACUUCAGAAACAACUUUGAUUCCUUAGUUAAUAGGUAUUACACUAUUUUGUUUUCUGAGGGUUGUUCACAGGAAAUUCUGUCCUAAGAUGCUGCUUACCCUUUCUGCCCUGUCAUAUAUGGCAAACUCAUCUUGAGGAGACCAGCCUUGAGGGCUUUUCCUCCAUUUGAAUGAAGCCAUAAGCAUGGUUCAGGUGAACCCAAAUGAACAGGGCAUCAACCCUGUUCACAAAUACAAAUUACGCUUCCUUAUCCCUCAGUUCUUCUUCUCAGAUCUUGUAACACUCCUGAAAUCAGGCAUGCAUGUGCCACAGCUCCACUCAUCUGACCUCCUUGAAGAUGUUUUCAGGAGAAUGGAAGGAGGUCCCAUUUUUUCUCAGAGAUUUUUGCCUGAUGUUAAGUCCCUUAGGAUUGUCCACAUACCCAAGAUAAUGCACUCUUCAUCCAAAAAGACGGUUCACAUUGAACUGGUACCUGAGGAGGACAGGAUCAAUACAACUACCAAAACAGCCUUCCUAGGAAACAUUUAGAUAGCUAUAAUUAUCAGCAGUAAAAAUCUUGUAGAGACUGAAGCAAGCUUUUCUUGCAUACACAACUGAUCUCUGUUGCCUAGGAUAAUCUGAUAAUUAAAAUAAAACCCCAAAAGUAUUAAUACAGUGUUAGCAGCCAAGUGAGAAUACAGUAGUAUUCAGAAACAUGCUGUGUGGGAUCCAGCUCACCUAACUACAGGUAACAUCUCCUGAACUAAGUAUGCUAGGAUUAAUUACUGCUGAGAAGAGAAAUAGACACUUCUAAAAUACAAACCCUUUCAUUGGAAAGAAGAUGUCUAAAAUAAUCAGAUUAAUUAACUAAGCUCCUCUAAAUGUGCACAUUUCUCUCCGCUGAUUGUAAAAGGAACAUUGGGUAUAAACUCAAAUGUUGAUGUCGAUGCUGUAAACAGCCAGUGACAGUGAAAUUAUUCUCUGCCUAUAAUUUCAAACCACAUGCCAGCCUUAAAAAAGGUGCAUUUAGAAAAGCAGCAUAAAAUACCUACAAAAGCAUAUUUGCUCUUCGACAGCCUUUGUGAUCAAAAGCUGAAACAAAGAGUCAAUGCAGUCUGCAAUUGCUGCUCUACUUCUCUUGCUGAAGACACUGCAACAAAACACAGGCAAAAUAUCCCCUUGAAAAAUGCUGAUUAUAGCCUGUUGGUCUGAAGCAGCAGACUCCCUACAGAAAUGCUGCUUUGCAAAAUCUAAUUUAUAGCUCCCAUAUCAUGCUCACAGUCUCCACUACAGCAGAAGAGAAACUCCAGAAAGCACCAUACCUUCAUUUUAUCAAAAGUAAUUGGUUUUGCAUAGAAGACCCAGAGCCUGCAAAUGUUUGCACAAUUUCAGCCAAACAAUACACAAGAACUAUACAAAGCUGCUUUGAGUAAAGACAAAAUUGCUUUCUGAAGAAUAUUUAGGUCUCUUUCAUCCUGCUGUCUCCAGACUACCAAAGGAAUCUGGGGCAAGUGCUGGUUUGUGGAUAGGGCAGAGGAUGCACAACUUCUGAAGAAGGCUGAGCAAUACCUGUGGGGCUGCCCUAUGCUGUCACACCAGAUGUGAUACCAGUUUCACAGGCAACUCAGGACAAGGCAGUGUCUUUCAUGAGUGCAAAUAGUUGAGAAUAAUAUAAAUAUAGCUACACUGUGCUGUCACCAACAAUACUUUUUGAUAUUAAACCCUUUCUUUGGCCUAUGGUCAGCUACUGUGUACCCACUGCAGUAAUACCUGCCAGCCUGGGCUUUUUGCUCUCACACUGAAGUUUUCAUAUGUCACAUCCACUAGCAGAAUGAUUUUAUGGUACUGAAAUGUGAUCAAGCAGGAAGGCCUAACAAUAAUACAUAUCAGCUUGUCCUUCCAGCCUUCGAUAUUAGGCAGGUUUUUUUACUACAACAAGUAUCUUGCCUUCAGUCUGUUAUCAGCCCUUUAAUAAGGAUCAGAAUAAAACCCAUUCAGGAGAUCUUUUCAUCUUACACUACCAUCUGAUUCUAAUAUGGAUGUGGAAAACUCUGGGACAGAAGCCAAAUGUUAAAUUUAAUACAAAGGACUGGUAUUUCAGUCCCAUUUUAUUUUCUGUGAUAGCUCAUUUUCAGCUCUGAUACAGAAACACUGAGGAAAAUUGGAGAUAAAUAUUACAUGACAGGCAAUGUUAUUUAGAGAUAUAGAGAAAUAUUUGGUGAGAUCUUUCAGUUAUGACAAAUGCAAAAUCACAAAAAGAUCUGGAUAUGUUCUAGGUUUAAUGCUACUCCUAAUUUAAUAAACAUAAUGGCAUUUGAGGUGAAAUAGAAAUGAGUUCUCUGUGCUCGUGCCCAAACUGCUUUGAAUAUGUUGCGAAAAUAAUAAAGAUACCUUUUUUAAGCUAUGUUUACUAAAAACUCUCAUUUAUAAUCUCCACUUGUCAGGGACUGCCUGAAGGAGGUAAUGAGAUUAGAACAAAAGUUUCAAUUAUGCAGAUCCAGCAGUUGCCUUUGAAAGGUACUUUUAGGAUACUGAGACUUCAUUUUUGAAAAAAAAAAAAAAAAAAAGGUCAAGUUUUUCUUGCUCUAGGUGGGUCCGAUGAGUAGGUGUAUGUGCUUCUGUCAGGCAUGUGCUUCUGUUUAGCAAAACCAGGACUGCACUGUUAAACAUGGGAAGACGUGGAAGAAGCAGGGCUUGGGGCACCACCAGAGGGUGUUGAGGGUUGCUCUGGAGAAGGCAAUUUGUGCUGCUGUCACCUCCAACGAGAGCACCAAGUGAAACACUCGGUCCAGCUGUGGGCAUGGUCUAGGCUGCGAGGUGCCAGGGCCACACGCUGCAGAGAUUUAGAGGCUGAAGUCUCGCUGCUCAUGCUGAAGCUGCUAAGAUCCUGAGGAAUGAGGAGCCAACAGCUCUGUGCUGGGGAGAGAGCCAGCCUGGUGCAGAGCUGCUCUCCUGCCACCAGCCAGCUGGUUCUUGGAACCAUAAAAAUCCCCUUCCACAGGGCUGGAGAUGGGAAGGACACUCUCUGCUCUGGUUGUGAAGAUGAAACUGACCCAGAGAAAGACCUGUGGCUCCUUUGAUUCAAAGCUGUAGCAUGAGGGAAUGUGCUUCUCCCCAUCACUGGUGAAGGAAGCUCAUCCACACUAAUAUUUAUCCUAGUUCCAGUUAAAAUACAGGAGAUGUUGACAGCUUCUGGCCUGUGUGUACAUCUGUACUUCCAGGCCACUGCACAAACCAAGAGUUACAAUGGUGCUGGUGAGUGUGGACAGGAAACAGAGCUGGAUAUAAAUAGUAUCACAGAUAUAGACCAGACAAAACAGAGUCACCCAAUAACAAAGAUACAAAAACCACAUGGGGCAAAGACAGACAGUCCCCAUUUUGCAUUUUCUUUUCUUCAGAACCUCUACACCUUUAAGUAGGAGACACCAAGAAGAUACUGGAAAAAUCAGGGGGGCAGAAAACAAACUCACCUCAGCUGUGUCCCACUUGGCCCAAAUGGGAGGAUGUAAGAUAAAGCCCACACAGGAGACAGCAGCCAAAAGGGCUGAGGCUUUUCUGGGUGAUCUGCGAAGUACCCAGUUGAUUCCUCAGAACCACUGGGGCCCAAAGUGCCUUACAGUUUUAUCUAAAGGACCCUUCUCCAUGUACAUGUGACUUCUUUGCGCAUGACCAAAAGCAUUUGUUGGAGUUUCAGAGAGACUUCUCCCCUACGAAGUCAAUAAAUUUUGACACAAACCCAACUUUUUGGUUUCUGCUCCCUGCUGUGUAAAAGGGACUCGGAUGGAAAUUGCACCUGAAUCCAAAGUAUCAGUCAGUUGCUGCCUAAUCCUACAAGAACAAUGCCACAGGCAGUUCAGGAGACAAUUGAAGUGUCGGGGAUAUAUUAUGGACCAUCUUUUAUCUAAUAACUAAUAAAUCUGUCUGUUGGGAAAGGUAUUUCUGCAGACCAGUCUCUGCUUCCAGCACUUUCUCUGUAUUUAAUCCACCUAAAGGACCAUGUGCAUACUUGUUGGAUAAGACAGAAGGAGCCUUGGAAGAGGAAAGGGGAAUCCAGCUAUCUCUGAGCUGCACAUUCUAAUGCUGAGGUGCACAGACAUACUCCAUUUCUCCUGGUAAAUCAUUACAGAAGAAAGAUAAAGAUUUCCCCGGGAAGGAUCAAGAAUGCUUCCUAGCCUCCAGUACAGCACCUGCUUGAGAGAAAACUCUCCUGGGAAUCAAGCAGUACACUGAAAUGAAGCAUGCAAGAGCCCUUGGCAGGAACAAAAUGCUAGAAAAGUGCUCUAAUUUUUAUAUAAUCACAUCAGAAACAUGUCAGAGAGAGUGUGGUCUUCAGACCCUGCAUAACUGGAAUGGGACUGUAAAGAGGAGUAAGUGCUUGGGCGUGCAUCUGGCCUCAGCAUCUCCGCCGCUAGGUGUAUGGAGUCCUUCGUGAUCUGGACUCAAGACGCUAACUGUUCUUCACUUAACCCUCUUAUCAGAUCCUCGACAUGAUUUUUGAAGAGUUCAAAGCAAACAUUUCAGAGUCCUCUUUAAUCAUCUUUUCUGGCAUCUGGAGAACAGUUCUUCCCUGAGAAGUGGUAAAGUUACAUUAAGAGGUUCUACAAGCAGCGAACCAAAGAAGCCUCACUUUCCUCCUAGGAUGUGAAUCCUACGGCUGACUUCAGGUCUUCUCCAGCUGCUUACCUAUCCUCAUGAUGCUCAUGAAGCGUCUCAACAGCAAACAGACAGGCUUCUUGAUUUUGGACAAGAGGUUCAGAGGCUACUAGGGGUACAUGCAUACACACAACACCCCACAGCAGCGGAGUGCAUGGCCCUGGUUACUAGAGGAAAUUAAGCUAAAAGGGAUGCUGAAGCUCCUCAGAACUGUCAUGGCUAACAUGCCAUCGGUGGCAUGUAGGGCACUUCAGCUAAAGGAAAACAUCCCUAAUAAUUAAUCUAGUGCGAGGUUCUGCUUCCCUCCAGCCCACUCAUUCAACUAGCCUGAGCCACAGAGCCAGCACUGGGUACAGAAUGGGCAUGGUCGCCAAGGCAAUUAUUUACUCACUGAAUGUCCCAACAGUAAACAAUGUGCACAUAAACAGGUACAUUUGCUUUAGAGUAAAAUCCCUUUGGAGUGAGCAAAACAGUGAGAGUGUGUCAUGAAGAAAGACAACACUUGGCAGAUCAGGUUGGGACAGGCUGUCAUGAGCAGCGAGGUGGGGUUGCAGAACCUGAACUGAAGGACACCACGUAAUGCUCCCACUAAUGGAGAGACUGGAGACUUCUGGAAGCUGCAACCGCCCCGAGCUGCCAGAGAUGCUGGAUGAAAGGGACAGCAGAGAAGAAGCAUUUUGAGGAAUCCCAGUUAGUGCUACAGAUCACUGAAGUAAAACACAAUAUUAUGGUGAAGAUCCUGGUGAGAAGGAUGGAAUAAAGAUAAAUUCUUGGGUAAUUGCAGGGGAUGGCUUGGCUUGAUUUGUUAGAAAAGAAGAUGGGAGGUUACAGUUAGUCUCCAUUUGUACAGCUGCUCUGCUGCUUUUUUGUUCAGCUGUACUCUCCCAACACUCUAUUAACAGGUGAAACUGCAGGCAAAUGCCUGUCGUCUUCCUACAUCACAUUCAAAUUCAUAAGCCAACCUGCAGCCAUAAAUGACUGGAGUGCCAGACAGGAAAAUUUUAUGUUUAUUUGAGUAGUCAUGCUUCACAGUCUCUGUAAUUUGGUAACUUCUGAUCUGAUGAAUGCAAACAUUAUAUACGGAAUUUGCAUGAAUAAAACCAACUUCUGUCAAUUAGUGAUCAUAAAACACUUUAAAGCAUACUUCCGUUGUGGUAAUGUACCUUUCCAAGUAUCUUAAUUACAAAAGGCACUAAUCAAAAUGAAAGCAAAUAUGAAAUACAUUUUUAAGACUGGCUGCAUUCUUCCCCAUUGUGCCGGCUUUUAUUACUUGCAUUAAAAGUUCUCUGUCUUAUUUUAACAAAUUGGAAUCUACCAUACAUAUGACAGCCAAUAUGCAGAAUAAAUUGUGACCAUGAUCCUUUGGUAACCAAAUCUAUGGCACUUCCCUGAAGUGAAGCACAGUCCACCCGAGGUACCAAAUUCAGCUCCUUCCUGCCAAAAACUUGCUGGGACUCUGCAUUAGUGGUAUAAUUAAAAAGUACAUAUAUCUUCGUUUGUUGGCAGCUCUUCUCCUCUGUGAGCUCUAAAACACCACACUUUGUGACAUUAAGUACAUUUUGGGUAUUAGGGUAAGAAAAACAGCAUAAAAUUUUGUAAAUCUACAGGCAAUUCAAGAACACAAAUGUUUCUAUUUUGGCCCAGUACCAGCAGCUAAUUCAUAUAUUCUUUAUCACUUGCUAAGGACUGCCUAGUAGCUGCAGAUGUGGAAGCAGACUGCUAAAAUCUGAAACAUAAGCAUUCAGAUUUCAUGACAAAAGUUUUCAGUUGUAUUCCCACUAUUCAGCUUCAGUAGCUACAUAGUUUUCUUGAACAUUUUUUAAUCUCUCCUACAGGCUUUGUACCUCUACAGAUCUCUGCUAUACUGAUAAUCUUCAGUACUAACCUAUAUUAAAGAGAUUGUCAGAGAAGACUGUAAAUGAAGUAAUUCUCUCUUCAAUUUCCAUCCUUUUCAAGCCAUAGAGAGCAAUCCCUGUGUUCAAGGAACUGAAAGAGAUUGGGUUUUCACAUCUUUGUUCACAUUUUUCUGGAAAGAGCAGGGAGGAAGUUUCAGCAGUUAAUAGUGUGGAUGUUAUUUUGUCUCCCAUGAAAAUAAAUUAAUUACAAUCCCACACAGUAUUUCUCUGCUACUACAUACCAUGAGAUCAAAUAAUAAUAAUUUCAUAAAUAAAUGGCAGUGCAGAUGCAAGCAAGGAAAAGAGCCCCUAUGCAAAGUAAAUGGAAACACAAUAUAAUAUCAUGUUUACUCUCUUUUCAGGCAGGAUGACCCUACAUUACAGUCAGGAUUAGAUUUAAUCAUACUGUGGCUUUAUACCUCGCAUUUGAUGUUGCUCCAGACACUGAAGUAGAAGUAAAAUUUGCUUAAUAUUUCGUAUUAAUUUCUAUAUUGUUAUACAUAAGUUAGCAAUAUGCAUCAGCACUGAAACCAUAAGUUAUACAUAAGUGAGUAUUAUGCAUGAGCACUGAAACCACAGCUAAUGAUGGCAUCUUUGCAAGUGUGCCUUUGAUAUAAAUGCAUGAACAGGUUCAGCAUCCAGCAAUACACUAAGGGAAAAAAGAAAUAUCUACUGAAUUGUUAGGUUCUGUGGAACAUUCAAGCUUUCAGGAACUACUAGACAGCACAAAAACACUUGACAGUCUGAAAGAGUAGAGAUGAGAGUUUUUGUUUUACAUGCCAGCAGUUACACCAGCAGUCAACCCUACAAAUAAUGCUGAAAAAAUCAAAUUCUUAAGUAUGUCACUGCAUUUCUAUAUAGUUUUAAAUGCUCUGCAGUUCCUAGAAAAUUGAAUGUUGCUUGAUAAUAGAGAACUUUCAACCCUUAAUUACAGAUCUGAUGCCCACAGAGCCAUAAUUUCUGAGUCAAGUUUCUUCUCCACACUAUCACAAAUAAAAAUAAAUGAUCAGCAGGUGAUUGUGUGAAGUUGUGAUGAUCAUAAAACACAUUCAUAUUUGUUGUAGACAUCUCAUGGUAUCAUAGGAGGCAAAUGUUUAUCCUUGUGGGUUGGGCAGCUCCGACAGAUUAAUUCACCCACUCUAAGUGAAAAACAAAGCUAACUGCAGCAAUUAAUGAUUGUUUUGUCAGCGAGUAGACAAAAUCAUCAUGCAACUUUUGUCAGGGAUUGGAAGCUAUCUUCUUUUGACAGACGUUACUUGAAUGCUUAUUUCAAAAAGCCUGAGCUGUCUUUCAAAGAGCUGAGGCAAGUGUUAAUCCUGCUGCUCCUUUGCACGCAAGAAUCAAAGAGUCCUUAGGCUUUUAAUCUGCUGAGUACAAUAAGUAAGUAAACUUUUUUUACUAGAAACUUUCCUAUCAAGAAGUUUUUCUAGAGACUACAGCAUUUCAGCAAUAAAAUCAUGUGCUUGAACUUCAGCUAUCAAUAUUCCUUUCAUGUAACAACAACAACAAUGACACUGCCAGUAUGAAGGACUGUUUUCUUCUAAAACAAAACUAAUCACACAUGUUUCCCUUGCAGGACUUAAACCAAAUGUGACAAUAAGCCAUUAUAUUUAGCUUUGAUAGAACUAUUCAUUCCUCCUCAAGACUUUUUUUUUUCCUUGAAGUUGGCUCUUCUUUUUGCUUUGGCUCAAGUCAUUAGAAAUAUCAGAAUCAAAGAUCUGCACAACAGAUGGAGCUGGGUUGUGAAGAAUGCCUUUGGCUGGUGAGGAUCUUUGCCUGGCAGGUGUCAAACCAAAAUUAAUACUGCACAUAUUAUAGCGAAGUGAGACUGCAUUCCUUCCUGACCACAAACAUGUAUUAAUAGAACAAGCCACGCAGAGCAAGCUAAAACAGUAUUAUCAUUCUGCUGAAUCCUCCACUGCUUGGCAUUUCAUUUAAUCACUUACAUCCAUGCAAAACAAAUAAACAAAGUGCAACAGGUUUGUUUAAUGUCUUUUUAAAGACAUUUUGCAUAGGUGUAAAACACUUCACAAAAUGCACUAAGCAACAUGGACGUAGACCCCUGCUGGUUUCUUUUUUCUUCCAUUUUUUGUAUCAGUGGUCUAACUGCUUAUGAACUUUAGUAGACUUUUUAACAUUUCAAAAUCCACAGGAAAAAAAAGGUAGUAGUAUUAAAAUACAAUGCUCAGCUACCAUCAGUUGCUAUGCCUGGCUUGCCAAAUGCAAUUCAGCAGCCUGAGUCAGAAGACAGAGCUUUCCACGAGCAUCAGGAAGGAGGGCUUGAGGUGGCAUCACCUCCUUCUCUCCAUUUUCAGAUGAAUGGGAGGCUUAGCAUCACAACCAGCCCUCUCAAGUGCCGAGUGAGUUGAAGAUACGCAAGAAACCAAUUUGGAAUCUCAUGGCUGGUUACACAGAUCCAUACUGUCCAACAGCAAUUUCAGCUCUCCAAUAGGGCUGUAAUUUUAGAAGGUCACAGCCACAAGACUUUUAGUUCUCUAUAAAGCAAAUGUGAGAAUGCGUGUGUGUGUGUGUGUACAUGCAUAUAUAUAUAUGUGUGUGUGUAUAUUUAUAUAUAUGUAUAUAUAUGUAUGUAGUAUGUAUGUAUGUAUUUAUACACAAAUUCCCCUAAUUUUUCAAAAUCUUAAUUAGAAUAUAUGAAAGUCUUUGAUGCAAGUCAAAUUCAUUCCUUUUUUAAAGUUUCAUUUCCACAAAUUCAGGUCAUGGAUCUGUCACUUGACCCUGGUAUGAAAAGGGUGAAAAUGGGAGCAUGGGUGAAGUAAUUUCCGAAACCGAGGUCCUAGCUCAGAGAGCGCUUUACGCCAGCAGGGACUGGAUGAGCACUUCUUUCCCCCCUCGAGUCAGCAGUGACAUAAUACCCUGCACCAUGUGCUCAGCUGCAGGGCUCGUGGCUGCCCUGUGACAUGGCUGGUGCCGGGUGACACAACACGCUGAUCCUCUGCAGUCAUUAGAGAUCCCAAGACAGCACGGAAAGUAAGGAGAUGACUCACAGCUGCAACCAUGCACUCGAGGGCUGAGGACCCAAUUACUUUUCUACUCACUCAGGAAUAGCAUUUUGCCAAAGGAACUGAACCUUAAUUUAAUUGUGCAACAUUUGCUUUAGAAACAUAUUUGAAGAUGUUUUAGCUAUGACCUCAUUUAUACACCAUCCCAGGCUUUCUAGGAACCCUGCAGCAUCAGCCUCCUAGCCUUUCUGGUAUGUGAACUACUGUCUUUUAUGGCUUCCACGCUGCACUGUCUGGGUGCUCCCCGUGUGACUGGGAGGGGAGAUGUUCUGCUAAACACAACACUUAGGGAGGGGAGUUCGCAGUCUCAGGUGUGGGUUGUGCAAGAGGCUAUGUAUGUGUUAGGUUAUGUACACAGAUUGCCAUGAUUAUGGUCAAAUAACUCCAAAGAGCUGGGCCUGCACAGGUGAAAAAGGAAGAGCACCAGAGGAGCCAACAACCCAGCAGCUCAUCUGUCCUGCAUUUCCUACUCAUGACCACAGCUUUGAAAGGUGCCCAUCUUCAGAUGCUGAUGGAGCCAUGCUUCAGCUCUGCAGUUUUAAUCAAAGACUUAAUUGACCAGGUCCCAGAAAAGUCAAUAGUAGAUUGUCCCAAAUAAUCUUGAGUAAGGAAGUGAGCAUACUGGAAUAUGGAAAUCCACUAAGGUAUUGAUAAAAAAGGGAGCAGACAACCAAAGGGGUCAGUUGCUAUUUGAGCUAGAAAGGCUGAGAUGUUAUGGAAAAUAGGUACAUAUCUGCACCUCACCUCUACUCUGCCAGCUGCUUCACAUGGAAUUUUAAGGCAUUGGGUUUAAUAUGGAAAAACAUACCUUUGAAUCAAAUUCUGAUGUCUGCAUUUACACAAAGUGAUCGGUUUUCCAGGACAGUUCACAAUGUAGACUCCUUUUGGCCUCUUAUUCUUAGCACUGACUUAGUCUAUUCCCACCUUCUGCCACCUUCUCAAUCUCUCUUCUCUUCCCUGCCUUAUGUUGCAAUUGCUAGAGGAUUCUGGAGCUGGGACACCAUGCUACCACCACGUCUGCCCACCACAGAAAGGCAGCUGGUCUGUUGCCCAACCCAUGCUGGGCAGGCAAGGAGCCCUCCUGCUGGAUAGGUAGACUUGUCUGUCAAAGGUAUGUUGCAAGUUUUUCCAUGACAAAAAUCCCCUCCUACUUUUAAAAAACACAUUUGUUUUUCUUCUUUUUCUCUUCUUUCUCCAACUUUUUCUCUUCUUCCCCCAUUUUUUGAGCCAGAAGGAGAGUGACACAGAGAAUAAUGCUUUCCUCAGCUUCUGCUGGAAAAAAACCCACAAAAAUUUUCCACCAAGAGUGAGCUUUUUCUGGUUUGUUUUGUUUGGUUGUUUCUUUGUUUUGUUUUGUUUUGGCCCAGUAGGGUUCAGAAGCCAUAUUUUAAAUUUAAAAUUUCCCAAAUAAGGGUCCAGUUAAUACUGUCAUUUUGUGUGGAAGGUAGCAGAGACCUGAUACCUCUGUUCCACUUAGCACAGAUUCCAGCUGUGUGGCAAAGAGGUCAGCUUGAUUUUUUCUCUUGGGCUGAAUCUUUUCAAACAUCUUUUCAGGGUUUCAGUUGUAUAAAUCAAACCCCAUAUCCCAGCGUAGAUGCACAGCUUGUCAGGCUUUCCUUCUGCCAGUUGGCUCUGCACUUCCCAGUGUUAAUUCCCAAAGCCUCCACAUGUUCGAGAAGGAGGGAGGAAAGCACUGGUGAGCAAGGAGGGGACCAGAGCAGUCAAAAGCUGCAGAGGCUUCCCAUGCAUGGAGAGAGCAUCACAGAUGGGUGCAGCUGGUAGUGGAGAAGAAAAAGGUGCUGAGGCCACUGAUUUUCCAAUGGCAUUGAUGGGCAGGGCUCUGAGCAGGUUUGGGCCCCUUCAGUCUCUGACAAGAAGAGAGUGUGUGUACAUACCACACACUGUCUUGGUGUCAACUCAGGAGUCAGCCUUGUUUCACGUGUGCUUUGUCUGAGCAGAUGGCAAAGCAUGACGGCUGCUGGGUUAAGAUUUUGCUGCCAAACCAACCCCCAGCUGUUUUCAGACUGCUGCUCGCUUUACCAAUGCAAAAAUAGCCAUCUCCCUAAUUUCCUCCUUCAAAGUAUUAUUUUUGAUAUUACAAGAGCAUAUACCUAGCCGGACUAUAUAACUGACAUGACACAAUUUUAAAUUAUCUACCUACAACCAUCUUCCUGCUCUAACUAUGGUGGUGGUAGUGUUGAAGGGUUGUUUUGCUGGGGGCUUUUUGAGACUACCAUGAAAAUUUGCAUUCCCAGGUAGAAACUCACUCAGUACAGAGCCUGCACUACCAGGCGUAGAAGGCAACCCAUCACUCUAGCUGUACCACAUCACCCCUAAAAAACUUUUGACACAGAAACUAGCCCAAAUCUCAUAUGCAACAGCAAGUACAUAAGGCAAGACUGUUACAGAAAAGACAGUGACAGAAACACACACUUAUUUAGUUUAUUCCUUUAUCAGCUGGGGUUUCUUCAUAUAUUUUUGUCCAGGAAUGUCCUAUAAGGCUAGGUUGUUAAAUGGCUGGGACCCUUCCAGCAGAGUCUCCAAGGGCAGCAUAGAUUCCUUUGGGUAUCCUUCCUACUGACAGCACAGCAGGGCUCACUAGCACAGCAAGAUGUAACUCCAUGCCACCCUGACCCAGCAGCAGGGUGUUGGCCUCCUGAAACUCAACAACUAUCUACACAACAUGAAACAAGUGGAAAUCCAAUCUUGUGACCUCAUUGGCACAGGUUCCAGACAAACCAACACAAACACAGCUCUUGGAAACGUGAUGAGUUCUGGGGAUAAACAACCAGCAUUCUCUUUCCUCCAUACCUCUGCGUUUGCUUGCUCCUAGAAAUAGCGGAAGGAACACCCCAACUGCGUGGAUACACAUGCACUUCUCAGCAGACCAACAGCAAAUGUUGAUCCAGCAACUGGAGCUGGAACACAGCAACCCUACACCAGCAAUAAAGCGCCACUGGGUCAGAUGUUAUGGUGUCAGCCCAAAUUAAGCAUCACGAAGCAUGCAUCGGCCAAGCCAGCAGUCCUUCUUUGCUUCAGUGAGCCUUGAGCUGUGCUGUGUGGAAUUGCUGCUUUCCAUACAGAAUAUCUCAUUCAAAGCAGGGGCUGUCACAGCAACUGCAAUAGCACCACUGAUUUUUGAGUGAUAAGCUGCAUUUAGAGUGGGAAAGUAUUGCUCUGUGAGCUGAAAAGCAUACCAAACAACGAGCGAUAAAGUCAUGAGCUUCAGGUUUUAAUAUCUGUCAGUCCCAUUUCCCAAAGCAAAGGGUAGUUUAUGUACACUGUAGACAUUUUCUGUCUGAAGCAAUACUAACACGUAAUGUCUUCAUUUAUACAGCACAUGAAGUGUCCUGCACCCCCACCCACACAAUGGUCUGAUUCUAGAUCCGCCCUACUGUUGUUCGUGGGAGGAAAUCUAGGUGUGUUGCAGAACAAAACCAAGGGGUACUGAUAUUCUGCAACAUCAGACAACGUAAUUCCUUCCUCACAAGACUCCAAGGUCCUCCUAGACCAAUUUUAAAAAAGGAGAGGGCAGGGAGAGGAGGGAAUGGUAGACAGAUCUAUGGUGGAACUAAAAACUCAGGAUUUCUGGAGCCUUUGUCAUAUGCUGUAAUUGCAAAAUCAUGCCUCCUGUCUUCCAUAUAAACAGCAAAUCUUUUUUCUCAGGGUAUGAGAUGAUUAGGAAAUUCCCUAUGCUCACCUUAAUUUGGUUUCUUCCCUCACUUGGAAAUGUGAUUUCAAAAAAGAUCAGGCCAUUAAGUGUAGUCUAGACUAUUGUUUCCAAAUACUUCUUUCAGCAUGGAAAGGACCAACCAUGGAAUAACCAAGCAAAUCACCCUAUUAUGCAACAGGCAAGAAAACUAUUUGUGCUGCUAUACUAUGUUUUUAAUUCCUCUGAAGGCUGCUUUCCCCCAGGGAAUUCCAGUAAUCUGACUGAUUGAAGUGUGUUUUGACAAGUUGUAACAGUCCAGAAAACCCACCUACGAAAUUACAUCCUGGUAGCAUCUUCCAAAGUAAACUGAAAUCUUGGUAUCACAGCUCAUUUUGGAAAGUUCUGUGCCAUAGCUUUCAUUUGUUAUGAGAACAUAGCUUGAGUUUUAGGUGUGGAUAACAGGUGGUGUUACACCUAUUGAUGUACAGCAAGAUGUAAUCUUCCCCUGUACCAGGUUUUUGUACCAGCAGGGGCCCCAUGGAUCAUCUCCUGAAACUGACCUGAAUAAAACCAUACAGUCCUAAUACAUUUUUAUUUCAUCUACUUUCUUUCACUUUAGGUGAACACACUGCAAAGUCAUCAGCUCACCCUGAGGGUUGUUUGUCCACCCCCAACAAAGCAAAUCAGAACAAGCUGCCAGCAUAGAUGUCAGCCUGUUGGAAAGACAGGAAUACUAGCAGAGUCUAAGGACCAGGCAAUGUUAUGCUGAGAAAGUCUUUUACUACUCCCACCAGCAGUGCCUGCAGGCUUUAGUCAUGUGCCACAUGCCAGACACACCACAUGGCUCCCAUCACGUAGGUUUUCUGCCACUACUCCACAAGCCUACCAAUCUCAUACUGUCUUCUGCUUGCCACUGUCAUGGAGAGAAAAUAUUUGACUGGGUAUGAAGCUCUUAUAUAUAAAGAAUUUAGGAUUUAGAGUGUAGAAAUUUUAAAAUGCUAGAAGGGAAAACAUUUUGGAAAGUGAGUCCCAGUAAGUAUGGAUGGACCAAGCCCAUUCCGUCCCUGGGCUCAGCUCCAGCCCAGUUGAGUUAGAACAUCCUGGAGGUAUCUACUAGGAAGACAAAGGAGACAGAGGCACUGAAAAGCUAGGAAGUCUCAGACUAACAUAUUUCAUUUUUCCAUAUUUUUCUUCCUGAAUAUCCCAAAACAGAAAGCAGACAGAUUUUUUGCAGAAGUUACUAGGAUUUAUUAAAGACAGGAUAUUGAUAUGAAACAUUCAUGACCCUCAACUUAGCAGUAUUUCUCUUGGAUAGGGUAACGAAGUAAAUUUAUUACACAUCAGUGCCAAGAAGCUCAUAAUAAAAAUACAGAUUAUAGUUCUCAGAUUCAUCAACUCAAACCAGAUAUUGUUGAAAAAACAGUCCAGCAGGAAGAAUGUCUCAUAAGAUGCUUGCACUACCAAAGCAACAUAUGAAAUACAUAUUUUAUCCAACAAUAGGAUACAAAGCAAACUAUUUGAUUUAAUGACCCUGACACAAAGGCAGCCUGUGAAGACAUGAGGAGACCCCUUGUCAUGUUAUCCCAGGUGUGGAGUGUGGGGAGGAAGAUGAUAGAUAUGUUAGACAUGGGCAAAGCAAGCAGAGAUUUUAUAGUAUCCUGAGUUGAUGAAAUUAUGAGACAUGAAAUAAAUUAAUAAAGUAUGGAUAAAGCAAGAUAGAGAAAUAACACAACUUCUCGGGAAGCCAGGCUUCAGCAAAGGUUCAGGCAGAUCAAAGCCACAGAAAAUCUUCACAUCAGUUCACCCAUAUCAUUUAGUCCCCUCACCUCUUCCAUUCCUGACCUUCAUUGCUUCUUUACUGGAACAUACCUAGUGAAGAAUCAGUAAUCAAGGGCUAAUUUAUUAAAUGCCUGAUAGUGAGAUCUAAAUAUUUCAUUCUGCUUUUGCUGCAUUCCCUACAAAAGUGAAGAUAUCUCUUCAAAAUGGUCCCAGAGCUUGCCUGUAUGGCAUCUGCACGGUCUGUAUGGCUGCAGGAACACCUAACACAUCAGCCUGCUGUGAAAGGAGGAACUCAUAUGUCCUUAGGUACGAUUGAAAGCAUUGUCACUGCUGAAAGUUUCCAUAAAUCACAGUAUAACAGACCAACCCUUUAACAACUCGUCUCUUCUCAUUUCCAGACAUACUACCAAGGGGAAAAAUUUACUCUGCCGAGGAUUUCCAGUGUUUCCAAUUCCUCACUUCUUCCAUCUCAUCCUCAGGAAAAACAAAGCAAAGCCAAAAAAUCACAACCCUCCUCCAAAUUCCCAAAACAAAGAAAAAUUAAACAAACAAAACAAGUAAGCACCACAGGGUUUUCUAACUGCCUUCCAAAAUACAACAAACAAAAAAAGCAUUUUAAAUUGCUUAGUUUGGGCAAGUUAUUAACCAUGAGAUCUCUAGUGCGUGUCUGUGUUUAAUAGAGAAUGUAAUGGAAAAAUAGAACUUUAGUGACCAUCCAAGAAAGAUUUCAUGAAAAACAGGGUGGAAAGGAGUUUGUUUGGAUUUAAUGUUUCCCCAGAAGCAUCUCUAGUCCAAACAUUACACCACAGGUCAAAUGGAGGGGAGCCAGAAAGUGAAACACUUUAAAAAUAACCCCUAAAAAGGAAAGUGAAAGUGGCCAAUCUAGUUAGAAUCAUCGAAUGGUUUGGGUUGGAAGGGACCAUAAAGACGAUAUAGUUCCAACCCCCCUGCCAUGGACAGGGACACCUUUCAGUACAUCAGGUCGCUCAAAGCCCCAUCUAAUCUGGCCUUGAACACUUCCAAGAAUGAGGAAUCCCCAACACCUCUGGGCAACCUGUUCCAUUGCCUCAUCACUCUUACUAAGAAUUUCUCCCUAAUAUUUAAUCUAAACCUACCCUCUUUCAAUUUGAAGCCUUGUUCUGUCACAACAUGUCCUUGUAAAAGGUCUCCCUCCAAGUUCCACCUUUUGUGACCAUAAAAUAUAAAUUCUAUGAUAAAAACCAAAUUUGGGCUCUGGCACCAUCACUGAACAUCAGUAAAUACUGCAACCUACACAUGGGAAGUCAAACAGAAAAACACAUGUGCAGCUUGUAAAAUUCUUCCUGCCUGGUACUACUGCUUUUAAGUAAGCUUACAUUAAAAUACUUCAGUUUGGAACUGAAAAACUGUCCUCACCCCUCCAUUGUAGCCCUUUCAAGAUGCCUCCUUGCAGACAGAGAAGCUCAACAAAGCUCUCACACAAGACCACCUGCCAGCAACAUCCGAAAAAACUGUAUGGGGUAGAUGCCUUGGGAAUAUUUAUAGCAAUAAAGUUCAUCUUGCCAGUCUG